GCUGCUGCACGCUUGGAGAGCCCGCGUGUUUGAACAGCUAUAAAAAUUAAUUAUUACCAAAGGCUUACAAAGCUUCAGAGUUUUUGGCCUCGAUUCGCGAAUCCCAUCUGAAAAAGUAAAGAGGGUUGUUAUUUGUGCAUUAUAUAUCACAAUUGGUCUCUUUGAUAACGUUCUCAUUCAUGAUGGGGUUUGAUUUAUGAGCUAGUGAAGGCAAACAUGGCUCGAGC
Non-coding RNA from Salmo salar (Atlantic salmon), 227 nucleotides. NCBI's taxonomy places the organism in Eukaryota, Metazoa, Chordata, Actinopteri, Salmoniformes, Salmonidae. The record is from Rfam.